AGGCCUCCUCUCAUGUGCAAGAGGGCUCGGGCUAUAGUCCCCACGCUAGCCCAAUGCGGAUUGGGGACUUCACAUACACCUUUGAAUUUCUUCGCAGAUGUGUGCAGGUUUCCUCACGAUGUUUUCCUUCACCGAAAAGCUAGUGGUAAAUAUCAAAUGACAUUUCGUACAUAAGUUCCGAAAAACUCAUUGGUACGAGCCAGGAUUUGAACCCACGACCUCCGGAUUGAAAGUCGGACGUCAUAUUCACUCGGCCACCACCGCUUGUUUUGUGUUUACUAUAACAAUACGAGACUGUUUGUUUCUAAAUAAAUAAAUUAACUAUUCCAAAUUCAAAUCGAUAGCUUAAAUGGUUCUCGAAAUAUUUAGCGAUGUGACAGACAGACAGACGGACGGACGGACAGAGUCGCACUAUAAGGGUUCCUUUUGUACCUUUUUGGCACGGAACCCUAAAAAUGGCCGACUUUUAUGUUUCCAUAUAAAAUAAUUCAGCAAGCAACGUAUCACUUUAGUUUUAAUACAAAACGUCGCAUUUAAUGACACGACGUCACAACUGUCACAAUAAAUACAAUAAUAUAUUAAUAUAGGACCGAUUUAUAUGAAGAUUUAGAAAGAUACAAGAAACCUAUGUAAAUAAUGGUCAGUCAGUGGUUGUCCACCAAUGAUUCUAAUUAUACUCUAGAUUCAUUACAACUUUUCCUUAAUGAUAUUUUUGCAAUGACUUGACUGGUAUUUAAUAAUAUAAAUAAAUGAAUACAUUUUGAUAUUACGUCCAAUUUUAUAAAGUUACUACGGGUACUGCGGAUCAGAACUAUAAAGUAUAAAGUUAUGAAUAUGAGCAAUCGUCAACUCCGUCAGUUGACUUCAAGUAAUGAUUAUUUACAGUUUUAGAUGCCAGUUGACGUUCGUUCGUUGACUGAUGAUAUUUUUAUUUUUCAUGUUCUUAAAAGCCCCUUAUCCCGGCUAAUUUUAUGUACAUGUUUUUGAUUCAAAUCAGAUUACCCAUAUCUCGCUUUGUAAAAGAAAUUCUAAGCAGUGUUAUCGGUAAGGAGUAUCGAGUGACUCGGCGCACCGAACAAUAUCUAAGUCACUAAACUGCAGCAACUUGUACCGACUGACUCAUCUGAAGAUAAUUAAUUAUACGAUGAGGAAUAACAUGGUGCGAUGUGCUACGGUGUGGUUUAGUCAUAGACUGGACUGUCAUUUGCAAAUUUGCUGAAGUAGAACCAUUAUAAAUCUGGCCUCUGAUCUCUGAUUACCUAUAAUUUUGUUGCAUAAAAAGGCUAAUCUAUACUAUAGAUUGACCAACAAUAAUACGAUUUAGGAAAACUAUGCUUAUAGAGGUAUUUACACCGCUCAGUUUGAGUAUGAAAUGGGGUUUAAAUAAAAAGAGAAUGUGAAACUAUUAAAGACUUUUUAUAGGCGAAAUAAUAUUACGGUUUUAGAAGGACAUACCAUUUACCUUACUUAUUUAAAAUACCUAUUUUAAAAAGUUCAAGUGUUAGAUCGAUGGUAGCACAACUCGCGAGUACUUUUCAACGGUAGUGAAUAAUUUAAAAGCGCGCCUCGUGCAAGUGGUGAGCUGCAGUUAUGUAGUCGCCGGCAGCUGUCGGACGUGUCCUGGUGGGACAGGGGCGCGGGGCGCGGCGAGUGAGCGAGGCAAGUCAGGGCCGAGGCAGGAAGAAGGCAUCCCAGCCCGAGCACAAUGGCGGCGGCGCGCCGCAGGGGGAGCCCUCACAAUCGAUAUGGCGUCGCUAAGGUCCGUUGGCCGCUGCGAGCGGUUUGUGCUCUGCAGAGGCGGAUGCCCUCUCCCCGCGCGCGCUCGCCCACCACACCUGCUGUGUAUUUAUAGAGCCCGGGGAUGCAGGGAUGUCGGCUGCCACGGUCCUCUACUUAUCUGCGGCUACGUGCGCACAAGGCUGGUACAGUCAGCGUCAAAUACUUAGUAGCAGUCAAAGUGGCCAAAUAGUUCGGUACACCAUACUAAAUAUAUGGUGUACCGAACUAUUUGGCUACUUUGACUGCUACGAAGUAUUUGACGCUGACUGUACAUAGUUGGCGAAACAAUUACAUAUGCACGUACUCUUUUUAUAUUGAGAUGUCGUUUCUUGCGUUUAACACAGUUGUGUCACAUUUAAGUUAACGCUUGUCAAUAAUAUUAAUAAAUAGGUAUUUUUAUACAAUGAGUAUAAUUUUUUAUUUAUUCAAGAUGUAUAGGUAUUGAUCGUACCUAAUUAUGUUAAGUAAUUUAAAAUAUUCUUAUAAUAUCGUAUAUUUUGUUGGAAGGUUAACCAACAACAUUUAUUUAUUGUAUUGCGUCUCAUGAUUUGAAUAAAUGUUUUAAUUACCUGCA
Molecule: long non-coding RNA, 2353 nt
Organism: Cydia pomonella (codling moth)
Lineage: Eukaryota; Metazoa; Arthropoda; Insecta; Lepidoptera; Tortricidae
Exons: 2
Source: RefSeq, a predicted model, not a curated record